CUGUGACUUUCACAGAUGUCUCUUAGCUUUCUCACCACCACUGGCCCCUUAGGUGAGACAAAGGAGUAGGAGAAUUACCUUUCCCCCAGAAAGAGUGUCAUUUGGAGAAUGCUCAAAAGUAAAGCAAGGAAAGGAGGGCAAAUUUAUUUAUAACUUCUAGAAAACUCAGUUUGACUCUUUGUGACCCCAUCUCUGAAUAUGCACAAAUGUAUGCAAGAUCGUCCUUAAAGUCAUCAAAAGAGUGAGAGGGCGAAGUCUCUGUCUCUGCGAGGAAUCUUGCAGUUUCCCCUACAUGAUGCUGGAUUUAUCGGAUCAAGUCAGGCUGUGUUUCAAGUUUCUCAUAAGAAAUUAAACAUCGUGUCCUGGGAGACAUGGAGGGAGAUUGGUUGCAGAGGUGACAUCAUCAGGCAGAACAAGCCACACCCUCAUUCGUCAAUGUGCCAGCACCGAGGCCCGGCCCUGGCAAUGGCCCAGCCCUCUCAUCUCUCCUUGUCGACAUGGCCUUGGGAAGAUCUCGGCACCUGUAGGGGCUGGUACAUGUCCUUGCCCACACUGCUUCUAUGCAGAUGUCUUCUGGUUCUCCUUCCUCCUGGGCCUCUGAGCACCUUGCAAAAUGAAUUCUCACUGCAAUCAGCUCCUUUCUACUGAUGAGGAAGCAGGCGCAGGAUAGUGAGGUGACUUGUUCAAGGAUGCACGUGCAUUUUCCUGGCUGGUGGCGGUGGAAUUUUGAACAUCAGACAGAAACAGCAGGAUAAAUACCUGUUCCACCUUUGGAAUUCAUGGUCCUGGGUUCAAGUCCUGCUCAUUAAGAUCUUAGACAAGUUACAUAAUCUCUCUGUAUCUCAGAUUCCCUAACUAUUA
Molecule: non-coding RNA, 861 nt
Organism: Microcebus murinus (gray mouse lemur)
Lineage: Eukaryota; Metazoa; Chordata; Mammalia; Primates; Cheirogaleidae
Source: RefSeq, a predicted model, not a curated record